RNAcentral lists this ribosomal RNA (330 nucleotides) under uncultured eukaryote. Its description in RNAcentral is "partial 18S ribosomal RNA". It matches the Rfam family "Eukaryotic small subunit ribosomal RNA", at positions 1470 to 1796 of the family's 1831-position model. The record is from RNAcentral.
CCCUUAGAUGUUCUGGGCCGCACGCGCGCUACACUGACGAAGUCAGCGAGCAUCUCCUACGCCGAAAGGUGCGGGGAAUCUUGUGAAACUUUGUCGUGCUGGGGAUUGAUUUUUGAAAUUCUUGAUCAUCAACGAGGAAUUCCUAGUAAGCGCAAGUCAGCAGCUUGCGUUGAUUACGUCCCUGCCCUUUGUACACACCGCCCGUCGCUACUACCGAUUGAAUGGUUUAGUGAGAUUUUUGGACUGGAACUCUCUUGUUCAGCAAUGAACGAGAGGGACUCUGGGAAGCUAUUCUAACUGUAUCAUUUAGAGGAAGGAGAAGUCGUAACA